UUGCAGCCACAUCAUCUUGAAACACUGGUUCCCAUAUGAUCACCAAAGUUAAGCAACAUCAAGCCUGGUCAGUACCUAGAUGGGUGACUGAUUGGGAAUACCAGGUGCUGUAAG
Molecule: non-coding RNA, 114 nt
Organism: Acanthosepion pharaonis
Lineage: Eukaryota; Metazoa; Mollusca; Cephalopoda; Sepiida; Sepiidae
Source: the annotation of a GenBank genome assembly